Molecule: ribosomal RNA, 418 nt
Filed under: Physarum luteolum
Lineage: Eukaryota; Evosea; Eumycetozoa; Physariida; Physaraceae
Description: partial small subunit ribosomal RNA
Rfam family: Bacterial small subunit ribosomal RNA
Source: RNAcentral
UUAAAAAUAUAGUUAAAAACUGAGGUAUACCCUCUUUCCUCUAUAUUCACUGAAUAUCUGAGUUCUGAAGGCGGUUGUUUGAAUUCUUGAAGAAAGGGUGAAAUUGUUGAUAUUGGAAGACAUUCAAUAGCGAAAGCAUUAACCGAUUUGGAUCUGACACUAGGUACUAAAGUAUGGGGAUAAAUAGGAUUAGAGACCUAGUAGUCCAUACCUUAAACAAUGAGUGUUCAACGUCUUUUGGCAAGGCCAUAGUUAAUAUAAGCUAUCAAUUAGCAGUACGUGCAAGGCAAGAUAUGUUUAUAUAAUUUAAAUAACUAUGCGCAUGUCAUAGGGGGUUUAAAGCUAACGCGUGAAACACCGCCUGGGGAAUGUGGCCGCAAGGUUAAACUCAAAGGAAUUGACGGAGACUUAUACAAGG